Schistosoma curassoni is the source of this 45-nucleotide non-coding RNA. The record is from Rfam. NCBI's taxonomy places the organism in Eukaryota, Metazoa, Platyhelminthes, Trematoda, Strigeidida, Schistosomatidae.
AUUCAGCUGACGAGUCCGAUGUAGGACGAAACACGCGUCCUGGAU